AACGUAGGAGGCGAGCGUUAUCCGGAUUCACUGGGCGUAAAGGGCAAGUAGGCGGUAGGCAAAGUUGGGCGUGACAAAUCUCGGCUUAACUGAGAGGGGUCGUUCAAAACUAGUCUACUGGAGGGCAGGAGAGGAAGGCGGAAUUCCGAGUGUAGCGGUGGAAUGCUCAGAUAUUCGGAAGAACACCAGUGGCGAAGGCGGCCUUCUGGCCUGCACCUGACGCUGAGAGGCGAAAGCUAGGGGAGCGAACGGGCUUAGAUACCCCGGUAGUCCUAGCUGUAAACGGUGGAUACUAGGUACUGGGUGCGAAUAUGUAUUCGGUGCCGAAGCUAACGCGUUAAGUAUCCCGCCUGGGGACUACGGCCGCAAGGUUAAA
This 376-nucleotide ribosomal RNA is filed under the name uncultured bacterium. RNAcentral describes it as "bacterial SSU rRNA". It matches the Rfam family "Bacterial small subunit ribosomal RNA", at positions 524 to 898 of the family's 1533-position model. The record is from RNAcentral.